Molecule: ribosomal RNA, 195 nt
Filed under: uncultured bacterium
Lineage: Bacteria
Description: partial 16S ribosomal RNA
Rfam family: Bacterial small subunit ribosomal RNA
Source: RNAcentral
GAAAUUCGCCUUCAUGAAGCCGGAAUUGCUAGUAAUGGCAGGUCAGCAUACUGCCGUGAAUACGUUCCCGGGCCUUGUACACACCGCCCGUCACACCAUGAGAGUUGGGGAUACCCAAAGCCCGUGAGCCCAACUAUAAAGAGGCAGCGGUCUAAGGUAGAAUCAAUGAUUGGGGUGAAGUCGUAACAAGGUACC